RNAcentral lists this unclassified non-coding RNA (331 nucleotides) under uncultured fungus. RNAcentral describes it as "partial contains 5.8S ribosomal RNA and internal transcribed spacer 2". The stretch from base 1 to 133 matches the Rfam family "5.8S ribosomal RNA", at positions 22 to 154 of the family's 154-position model. The record is from RNAcentral. Lineage: Eukaryota; Fungi.
UGGUUCUGGCAUCGAUGAAGAACGCAGCGAAAUGCGAUAAGUAAUGUGAAUUGCAGAAUUCCGUGAAUCAUCGAAUCUUUGAACGCACAUUGCGCCCGCUAGUAUUCUGGCGGGCAUGCCUGUUCGAGCGUCAUUUCAACCCUCAAGCCCAGCUUGGUGUUGGGGAUCGGCCCGCCCCUAGCGGCGCGCCGGCCCUGAAAUCUAGUGGCGGUCUCGCUGUAGCCUCCUCUGCGUAGUAGCAAUAUCUCGCACUGGAACGCGGCAAGGCCACGCCGUUAAACCCCCCAAAUUCUGAAAGGUUGACCUCGGAUCAGGUAGGAAUACCCGCUGA